UAGGGAAUCUUCGGCAAUGGGGGCAACCCUGACCGAGCAACGCCGCGUGAGUGAAGAAGGUUUUCGGAUCGUAAAGCUCUGUUGUAAGAGAACAACGUGUGUGAGAGUGGAAAGUUCACACAGUGACGGUAACUUACCAGAAAGGGACGGCUAACUACGUGCCAGCAGCCGCGGUAAUACGUAGGUCCCGAGCGUUGUCCGGAUUUAUUGGGCGUAAAGCGAGCGCAGGCGGUUUAAUAAGUCUGAAGUUAAAGGCAGUGGCUUAACCAUUGUUCGCUUUGGAAACUGUUAAACUUGAGUGAAGAAGGGGAGAGUGGAAUUCCAUGUGUAGCGGUGAAAUGCGUAGAUAUAUGGAGGAACACCGGUGGCGAAAGCGGCUCUCUGGUCUGUAACUGACGCUGAGGCUCGAAAGCGUGGGGAGCAAACAGG
Molecule: ribosomal RNA, 429 nt
Filed under: bacterium
Lineage: Bacteria
Description: partial 16S ribosomal RNA
Rfam family: Bacterial small subunit ribosomal RNA
Source: RNAcentral